AAUGAACGCUGGCGGCAUGCCUAACACAUGCAAGUCGAACGACAGCACAGGAAGAUCUUGCUCUUAGGGGUGGCGCGUGGCGGACGAGUGACGCAUGCAUCGCAUACCUCUUUUACGGGGGGGAUAACGUAGGGAAACUUCUUCUAAUACAGCAUAUGUCGUACUGGUAAGGGCAAGAGUUCUACUCGCUAUUCGCGAUGGUAAGAGCCGAAUCCGCGCUGGAUUAGUGAGUUGGGAAGGGAACGGCUUACCAAGGCUACGCAGCGUAGCCGACCUGAGAGGGUGAUCGGCCACACUGGAACUGAGACACGGUCCAGACUCCUACGGGAGGCAGCAGUAGGGAAUCUUACGCAAAGGGCGAAAGCCUGAUGGAGCAACGCCGCGUGAGUGAUGAAGGUCUUCGGAUCGUAAAGCUCUGUUGUUAGGAAAGAACAGAUGUGUAUGUAACCGUGCACAUCUUGACGGUACCUAAAGAGUAAGCCCCGGCUAACUACGUG
RNAcentral lists this ribosomal RNA (497 nucleotides) under uncultured bacterium. RNAcentral's name for it is "partial 16S ribosomal RNA". It matches the Rfam family "Bacterial small subunit ribosomal RNA", at positions 29 to 507 of the family's 1533-position model. The record is from RNAcentral.